Molecule: long non-coding RNA, 318 nt
Filed under: Prunus persica (peach)
Lineage: Eukaryota; Viridiplantae; Streptophyta; Magnoliopsida; Rosales; Rosaceae
Description: long non-coding RNA (PPER_LNC000705)
Source: RNAcentral
GUCGAUUGUCACAGGGGAAUUGGGUGAUUGAUGUCAAUUUUGGGGACGAAGAUAAUGGAGCAAGGAAGAAGAUUCGGAUAAUUUUUAUUUUUUUUUCUAUGGUCGAAUAACUAACCCCUAAAUAGGUUUAAUAGAAUAUAAUUUUCAGCAUUCUUCAGUAUAACAUUUUUUUCUCUUCCAAUCUUCAGUAUAACAUUAUUGGCAAUGACAAAUAUGUAGGAGAAAUAGAAUCAUAAGUACUUCAAAAUAAGACUUAAUACGCAAAAUUAGAAAAGAAUGGUAUUUCAAACCAAUAUACUUGAGUGGUCUCAAGUCUCA